AUUGAACGCUGGCGGCAUGCCUUACACAUGCAAGUCGAACGGCAGCAUGAUCUAGCUUGCUAGAUUGAUGGCGAGUGGCGAACGGGUGCGUAAUACAUCGGAACGUGCCCUGUAGUGGGGGAUGACUAGUCGAAAGAUUAGCUAAUACCGCAUACGACCUGAGGGUGAAUGUGGGGGACCGCAAGGCCUCAUGCUAUAGGAGCGGCCGAUGUCUGAUUAGCUAGUUGGUGAGGUAAAGGCUCACCAAGGCGACGAUCAGUAGCUGGUCUGAGAGGACGAUCAGCCACACGGGGACUGAGACACGGCCCAGACUCCUACGGGAGGAAGCAUUGGGGAUGUUUGGACAAGGGGCGAAGGCCUGAUCCAGCAAUGCCGCGGGGUUGAAGAAGGCCUUCGGGUGGUAAAGCACGUUUGUCCGGAAAGAAAUGGCUCUGGUUAAUACCUGGGGUCGAUGACGGUACCGGAAGAAUAAGGACCGGCUAACUACGUG
RNAcentral lists this ribosomal RNA (490 nucleotides) under uncultured bacterium. RNAcentral's name for it is "partial 16S ribosomal RNA". It matches the Rfam family "Bacterial small subunit ribosomal RNA", at positions 30 to 507 of the family's 1533-position model. The record is from RNAcentral.